AAUAACAUGGUGAGGGCGGGGGUAUCCCUAGGAGAGUGAAAGAGAAACAGAAAGACAGGAGACACGAGAGAGAUAGGAGACAAGAGAAAUGAAGAGAGGGUGGGGGGAUGAAUUUAUUCUUGCUAAAGGAUCUGCACAUUUCGAAACCUGGAUGUAACCUUCAGACAUGUUCAGAAUCUUUGUACCGCGGUGACCUGGAUGACCAAUCUCUCUCAUCCUCGGUAGGAGACGUCAUAUGGCGGCAUCCGUGGCGCUGAUGAGGGUCUGGCUUACGACAAACGGAUAUGGUCCCUGGUCUUAGCACGAGCUACCGCAAAGGUAGCUAUGGACCGAAAAUCCGAAAAUAAAGUGGGAUCAACCCGACACACAGAUAGUCCCUAGCAUCCAGCUAUCGCGCCAUUGGAUGAGGACACACUGGAGCUAUCGCAUUUCUUAGCCAAGCUCAGUAAAGAACUGAAAACAGGAAAGGAAGAGGCUAAAGGUGAGAUAAACAAAGCAAGUUAAAUAAAAGUUGCGGAAACAGCAAAUCUGAGACAAUACCUCAUGUAAUUUCGUUCUAUUACCAUGCAGUAGACUGUUAUCAACAACGUUGGUGACAAUGACCGAGCAGUCCGAGCUAACUGGCGCUGAACAAUGAAUGAACAUGAUCUGUUAAGGGCGUUAUUUCGACACUCCCCGAUUCUCUUCCUCCCCCUUUUCUUUGGCGGGCCAGUGAACCAUGACUGUGGCCGAGGUUGUCUGGAUGCGCGUGACAGGAAAGAGGAGCGGGCGGUGGGUUGGGGAAAGUGAGGGGCUGCUGACCUGUCGCCUUUUGUCAUACAAACUUCGGCAGGUGGACGGAAAUGAAAGCACGUGACCAAGAAAGAAUCGCAUCACCAAACACCGCAUCACCUGUCCCUUGACCCUCUCCAUCUUCGGGUUAUAGCUUCGCCGAAAUGUGCUAACAGUUUUUUUUUCCGGUGAAGAAUUUCUCUUAACUCUUGGUCAGAAGGCUAACAGAUUUAAAUUGUAACUACUCCUUUUGCUCGUAUUAGUCGAACCGUGUGAAACAGCGUUAACAGGAAUCUUGUAGGAAGUUACAGGGAUUUCUAGCCAUGCGUCUUUGUCCACAAACUUAGCACAUUAAGGCCUAGUUACAACAGCAUGAGCAAUUAAUUUUUUAACAAGUACGAAAAUUCGUAGCAAAAUCAGUCUUGGAUGUCACGGCACUUGUUUAAACCAAAGAUCAUGCGAUCCAAGAUUGUACACUCCUUCAAAACUCGCCUGGAUUCAAUGACGUCUUGUCCGUUGUAAUCGCCCGUUAUUUUCACUUUCCAGGGGUGAACUAUGCUGACACUCAUGCCCAAAUGGGAUCUUAAUUCGACAAACCUUUCUGCCGGUUUAAAUGAUUAUCCAACCCGCUAUACACUGAACUGAUAUAUCUCCUUAGUAAGCAUAGUAUAGCAACUUGACUGAGCCGACACUGCCAACAGACAUAGGGCAAAGUGCAAACCUGUUUCCAUACUCGUCGAAUGUUACCACACCAACCUCGGCACUGUCAAAACAAAACAAACAACCCCCCCCCCAAAAAAAACAAAACAACAACAACCCAAAACAAAACAAAACAUAAAAACAACGACGUAGUAACUAGAACAAGAGAGAGGAAAACAAACUUUUGGUUGGUCAGGGCAAAACAAAGUCGACGGGGAGGGAAGGGGAGCCAAAGACUGGGUCGACUUAUGCCGACGUCCAUGGUGUGUAAGUCUGAGAAUUGUGGACCAAACUCGAGAACACCUUGCACUGCGGGUCGUACGUGACAAAGUCUGGCGUGGAGAAGCCAGUCAAGCCGUCAGCCCUAUUGAAUCUGUUGACUUCACAAGUGUUUACAUUCUCAUCCCUCCUAGGUGUCCUUUGUACGAGGCGGGGCCAAGAAAAGAAAGUGGUUGGGUGGAGCAAGGUCACAAUAUUUCAAGGUGUACCGGUGAAUGUUAACAUAAAGUAAACUGAUAAUUUCGUAAUCCAACAGACGUAUUUCUAAAUCUUUCUUUUUUCAGUCCUAUACUGAAUCUGAUGUUACUGGAUAAACAGAUAUUGUGCUGGAGUCGAAAACUCCGGUACAGGACUGUAAAUGCACGCGAAACCCAAAAGGAAAUCAAGAAUUCACAGAUGGCUAGCUACAAACUUACAGCUCCACGUAACACAUGUUACUAGUGUCCACCUGUUUAGCAGAGCUCUUUACACUUACCUGACUACGGUGACAUUUUCUCGUAAUCCACCUGAAUGGCAAUCCGGCAGCGAGACAUACGAGGGCCUGGCACACUGGCUGACAUUCCCUGUAUAGUGUAGGUGUGAGUACAUCUGGGACCCUCACCUCACCAGGAACCCAAUCUCCACUUGGGCCUGGCACAUAGUAGCGAUCCCCCCGCUCUGCUCUGCCUCCCCUCCUAAGGUCUCACUGCUUGGUCCUAUUCAAAGUCAGCUGGUGGAAAACAACGAAGGUAAGGCCGUCCUCCACCCCCAAGCGCCCUGCUAUCCUUUUCUCAGUUUACCAAAAGUGAAAUGGCAAUACUAGGAAGAAAUUAAGGUGUAGAAGAAUCGCCACUGCUACCCCUGCACUUGACUGAGUAGUUCUUGUAUUUCUCACAUUAUGCUUCCCAACGCGCAUGCAUGAGUGCGGACACCCGCAUUCAAGAGGACAGCUAGGCAACAUUCCAUUAGCAGCAUUGAUUAUAUCAUCAAAAUCGUGACAGAAAAUACAUGUCAAAGGAGAUCAAUAAAUCCUCAAACAGGAACUGACAAGUUUUAACAGCUUAUAGUUGGCGUACAUUCGGAUACAGAAAAAAAAAUUUAACCCUAAAAUCCAAACCGCCGCUUUAAUGCAAACCGAUACACAUUCAUAACCACCGUCACAGAAUAAGGCGACACUAGGUCAGGUAUUUUUGUGAGCACUUGAAGUGAGUAUUUUUUGGUGGCGAAAAUGUGUCUCUCAGUGACAUGCAGGCCAGACGAAAAGAAGGGACAGGUGUCUGGUGUACCCGGGCACGGCGCUGUGAAGGAGGCCCGGUCUUGCAUGUUUCAGACCAUCACAAUCCAAUGAAAUGGCAGAAAACUGUUUCAUUCAGAACGCUGGAAUGAAUCAAGCUGACAUACUCCAGAUUACAAGUAACUGACUCCGUCAUGUGGUGCCACAUGUGACUGACUGCCUAACAGAGGUGUGUCAAUGGAUUAACUGCCCCACAAAGUACACAUAUCAAGUAGCUUCCUCCCAAAGUACAUGUCAAGUAAGUGACUGAUUCACAAAGAAAUUGUCAAAUAACUGUCCCAUAGUGCCAGAAAUGUUUCAUCUAGAUUAUAAUUCAACUAAGUAGAGCCCACUCAAUAGUCAAGCUAUAAAACUGACAACUGGUAUAAACACUGUUUGCUUGCAAGAGUAGCAGGGUAAAUAUACAACCACUAGGAGAUCACUGUACUUGUACUUGCUCCUUCUAUUGAUCUUAAGUUCCUUAGCAAACUAUAGUAAAACAAAUUUUUUAAAAAGUUAACACAGACCCAGCUGUAGAUUUUCCCCUCAGAUAUUUAUAGCUAAGGGCUUAUUACUUUGGGAAAGUGUGAUACUGGUCAAAGUCCAAAUAAAAGAAAUAAAUAAGAGUGAGAUAAAACAGAUCAAUAUCAUCACUUGCAAACAUCCUUAUUGUUGAUAAGUAUAUAUAUAUUUGCUUUCUGGAUAGACCAAGUACAGAAGAGGCAAAAUCUUUUUUCUUAAAAAAUUCCCAAAUCAUUUGCUAAGCAUAAAUGCAUGUGAUUUAACAUCUAAGGGCGUACAUACACCAGGUAACUUGUAACAAUGCCUUUUGGACCACUUUAUUUGAAGCCUGCUCUUAUUACCUGCCAUGGUUCUCCUGGAUGUAAAGACUGAGGUCUUGCUUCAUAGAAAGUGAAAGUGAGCAUAAUAUAGUACGUAAGUGAAAAUAGAAUAGGUUCUUGUGUGCUGGAAAUAACUGACCGAUUCUGAGAUAGACUUUUACCUACAAUCACGCUUCACACGCACUUAGACACUGAUCGAGUGUGACGCCAAUUGACCACCACUGUCACCUGACCUGUAUGUUUUGAAACCUGAAUUUCGUGACAGUCUUGGACUUAAACUGUCGAGGCGGAGAUCGUCCCACAGAGGGGCGUAUCCAUGCGGUUAUCAGUUAGAACUGUCGGUUGCAUCAAACAAUGCAAAGCUUCGAUCGAGCAGUUAAGAAA
This 4227-nucleotide long non-coding RNA is filed under the name Pomacea canaliculata. RNAcentral describes it as "uncharacterized LOC112563199". Lineage: Eukaryota; Metazoa; Mollusca; Gastropoda; Architaenioglossa; Ampullariidae. The record is from RNAcentral.